This is a non-coding RNA of Mycena rebaudengoi, 91 nucleotides long. The record is from the annotation of a GenBank genome assembly. Lineage: Eukaryota; Fungi; Basidiomycota; Agaricomycetes; Agaricales; Mycenaceae.
GACUUGGUGGUGUAAUGGUAACAUACCUACUUAUAUUCAUCUGAAAAUGCGUACUAAACAGGAGUUCUCUGUUCAACUCAGGGCUGGGUCA